AUCACUUCUCGGCCUUUUGGCUAAGAUCAAGUGUAGCAGCUGUCCUUAACAGUUUAAUAUCUACUACGCCUCAAUGUGAGGACAAUACAUUAUAUUAAUGGAUUUUGUGGAACUAGGAGAUGGAAUAGGAGCUUGCUCCAUCCACUUCACGCAUUGACCUGGUAUUGGAGUACCUUAAGGAACAGUGCACCUACC
This 195-nucleotide small nuclear RNA is filed under the name Lynx canadensis (Canada lynx). RNAcentral describes it as "U2 spliceosomal RNA (ENSLCNG00005003673.1)". It matches the Rfam family "U2 spliceosomal RNA". Rfam says of the family: U2 is a small nuclear RNA (snRNA) component of the spliceosome (involved in pre-mRNA splicing). Complementary binding between U2 snRNA (in an area lying towards the 5' end but 3' to hairpin I) and the branchpoint sequence (BPS) of the intron results the bulging out of an unpaired adenosine, on the BPS, which initiates a nucleophilic attack at the intronic 5' splice site, thus starting the first of two transesterification reactions that mediate splicing. The record is from Rfam by way of RNAcentral. Lineage: Eukaryota; Metazoa; Chordata; Mammalia; Carnivora; Felidae.